Molecule: long non-coding RNA, 386 nt
Filed under: Rattus norvegicus (Norway rat)
Lineage: Eukaryota; Metazoa; Chordata; Mammalia; Rodentia; Muridae
Description: long non-coding RNA NONRATT009360
Source: RNAcentral
UUCACUAACAUCCUUAGGGACAUAAGACCGUGGAGUAAGUGAAAGGGGCUGCUUAAAGGUGUACGCACCUGACAAGUCAGGCGCCAUCCCAUUACUACUCUUUACAUUUACAGUGGCAUUAGGGAAUAUUCUGGCUACUGAUUCAGGGUUUUCAGGGUUUAUAGCUCUUAUCCCUUCCUGCUCGGAGUUCCCCUUUUCUGGGUCACCGUCAGACUGUGCACUGGUGUUCCUGAUACCAAUUCCAGGACUAAAUUCUGAUACACAAGAAUUGGAACCUUCUGAAGUUCCUCUGUGGCUAAUAAUUUCCUUCAAAUCCAACCCCAUUGAAAAUGGUCCAACUUGUGACUCACUGUAUGAUUCGGGGGGAUUCACAACCUCAGCGUCCU